RNAcentral lists this ribosomal RNA (446 nucleotides) under uncultured bacterium. Its description in RNAcentral is "partial 16S ribosomal RNA". It matches the Rfam family "Bacterial small subunit ribosomal RNA", at positions 338 to 795 of the family's 1533-position model. The record is from RNAcentral.
CCUACGGGUGGCAGCAGUCGAGAAUCAUUCACAAUGGGGGAAACCCUGAUGGUGCGACGCCGCGUGGGGGAAUGAAGGUCUUCGGAUUGUAAACCCCUGUCAUGUGGGAGCAAAUUAAAAAGAUAGUACCACAAGAGGAAGAGACGGCUAACUCUGUGCCAGCAGCCGCGGUAAUACAGAGGGCUCAAGCGUUGUUCGGAAUCACUGGGCGUAAGGCGUGCGUAGGCUGUUUCGUAAGUCGUGUGUGAAAGGCGCGGGCUCAACCCGCGGACGGCACAUGAUACUGCGAGACUAGAGUAAUGGAGGGGGAACCGGAAUUCUCGGUGUAGCAGUGAAAUGCGUAGAUAUCGAGAGGAACACUCGUGGCGAAGGCGGGUUCCUGGACAUUAACUGACGCUGAGGCACGAAAGCCAGGGGAGCGAAAGGGAUUAGAUACCCGUGUAGUC